Long non-coding RNA from Daucus carota subsp. sativus, 424 nucleotides. RefSeq lists it as uncharacterized. The transcript is spliced from 2 exons. NCBI's taxonomy places the organism in Eukaryota, Viridiplantae, Streptophyta, Magnoliopsida, Apiales, Apiaceae. The record is from RefSeq and is a predicted model, not a curated record.
CAUUCUUAUCUGUUGAUAUGCUCUAUAGUCUCUAUGUGGCACAACCGUGGGAUAUGUUUCUGAAAAUUUUUAAUUUGCCAUGAUGUUUGCAGCUCAAAUUCAAGCAUAUGAAUGCUGCAAGGAUACUGAGGUGUAUACAAUCCAAGCAAUGCCUAUGACUUACCUUUGUGACAUAGAUCACCAACCAAUAUCUCGACUAGUCCAAAAUCAUUUCGAGAUGUGACGAUAAGCAUUCUGGAGCAACUUUUGGACUAGUCCAUAAAUCAUAAUAAUACUUGCGGCAGGUGUGUAUUAGAUCAACCCCCUAACAAGAAGAAGAGAGUUCUGAGCAUUUUUUUCAGAACACUUCAGCAAAUGCAUAACAUCAUAAUUAUAUCACAAUUUUGUACAACUCUCAAUUGUAAGCAAAAGAGUUUGCAGUUUC